CAACUUACCAGGCAGGGGAGAUAUCAUGAUUACGAAGGUUGUUGGCCCAGGGUGAAGUUUAUCCAUUGCACACCGGAGGUGCUGACCCCUGUGAUUUCCCCCAAUGGUGGAAACUCAACUGCACAAUUUGUGGAAGUAGGGUACAGCGUUCGUGCUGUCCCCUA
RNAcentral lists this small nuclear RNA (164 nucleotides) under Dasypus novemcinctus (nine-banded armadillo). RNAcentral describes it as "U1 spliceosomal RNA (ENSDNOG00000032095.1)". It matches the Rfam family "U1 spliceosomal RNA". From Rfam's summary of the family: U1 is a small nuclear RNA (snRNA) component of the spliceosome (involved in pre-mRNA splicing). Its 5' end forms complementary base pairs with the 5' splice junction, thus defining the 5' donor site of an intron. Lineage: Eukaryota; Metazoa; Chordata; Mammalia; Cingulata; Dasypodidae. The record is from RNAcentral.